UGGCAAGCGUUGUCCGGAUUUAUUGGGCGUAAAGCGAGCGCAGGCGGUUUUUUAAGUCUGAUGUGAAAGCCUUCGGCUUAACCGGAGAAGUGCAUCGGAAACUGGGAGACUUGAGUGCAGAAGAGGACAGUGGAACUCCAUGUGUAGCGGUGGAAUGCGUAGAUAUAUGGAAGAACACCAGUGGCGAAGGCGGCUGUCUAGUCUGUAACUGACGCUGAGGCUCGAAAGCAUGGGUAGCGAACAGGAUUAGAUACCCUGGUAGUCCAUGCCGUAAACGAUGAGUGCUAAGUGUUGGAGGGUUUCCGCCCUUCAGUGCUGCAGCUAACGCAUUAAGCACUCCGCCUGGGGAGUACGACCGCAAGGUUGAAACUCAAAGGAAUUGACGGGGGCCCGCACAAGCGGUGGAG
Molecule: ribosomal RNA, 407 nt
Filed under: Ammoniphilus sp. CFH 90114
Lineage: Bacteria; Bacillati; Bacillota; Bacilli; Caryophanales; Paenibacillaceae
Description: bacterial SSU rRNA
Rfam family: Bacterial small subunit ribosomal RNA
Source: RNAcentral